RNAcentral lists this ribosomal RNA (204 nucleotides) under Triticum aestivum (bread wheat). RNAcentral's name for it is "partial small subunit ribosomal RNA". The record is from RNAcentral. Lineage: Eukaryota; Viridiplantae; Streptophyta; Magnoliopsida; Poales; Poaceae.
AUGUGUGCAGAGCCCCACUGUCGCAAGAAUGGACAAGGAAAAGGGGAAGGAGAGGAGGAGGAGAAGGAGAAAGAGAGGAGCUUGGUCUCUAUUAUGAAGACUAAGCCGGCUGUCCCAGGAAGUAGAAGGGAAGGGCAAGGCCUGUGUCUCUGCCAAGGAAGCCGGCCAAGGAUUACGGCAAUGUCCCGCUCGCCGAGUUAUUAA